AACGAACGCUGGCGGCGUGCCUAACACAUGCAAGUCGUGCGAGAAAGUUCCUUCGGGAGCGAGUAAAGCGGCGCACGGGUGAGUAACACGUAGGUAACCUGCCCCCAAGUCUGGAACAACUGGAGGAAACUCCAGCUAAUGCCGGAUGAGACCACGAUCCCUUCGGGGGUUGCGGCCAAAGAUGGCCUCUACUUGUAAGCUAUCGCUGAGGGAUGGGCCUGCGGGCCAUUAGCUUGUUGGUGAGGUAACGGCUCACCAAGGCUGUGAUGGCUAGCUGGUCUGAGAGGAUGACCAGCCACACUGGGACUGAGACACGGCCCAGACUCCUACGGGAGGCAGCAGUGGGGAAUAUUGCGCAAUGGGCGAAAGCCUGACGCAGCGACGCCGCGUGGGUGAUGAAGGCCUU
Molecule: ribosomal RNA, 406 nt
Filed under: uncultured bacterium
Lineage: Bacteria
Description: bacterial SSU rRNA
Rfam family: Bacterial small subunit ribosomal RNA
Source: RNAcentral